This 503-nucleotide ribosomal RNA is filed under the name uncultured bacterium. RNAcentral's name for it is "partial 16S ribosomal RNA". It matches the Rfam family "Bacterial small subunit ribosomal RNA", at positions 30 to 523 of the family's 1533-position model. The record is from RNAcentral.
AUUGAACGCUGGCGGCAGGCUUAACACAUGCAAGUCGAGCGGAGAGAGGUAGCUUGCUACUGAUCUUAGCGGCGGACGGGUGAGUAAUGCUUAGGAAUCUGCCUAUUAGUGGGGGACAACAUCUCGAAAGGGAUGCUAAUACCGCAUACGUCCUACGGGAGAAAGCAGGGGAUCACUUGUGACCUUGCGUUAAUAGAUGAGCCUAGGUCGGAUAAGCUAGUUGGUGGGGUAAAGGCCUACCAAGGGGACGAUCUGUAGCGGGUCUGAGAGGAUGAUCCGCCACACUGGGACUGAGACACGGCCCAGACUGCUACGGGAGGCAGCAGUGGGGAAUAUUGGACAAUGGGGGGAACCCUGAUCCAGCCAUGCCGCGUGUGUGAAGAAGGCCUUAUGGUUGUAAAGCACUUUAAGCGAGGAGGAGGCUCUUUUGGUUAAUACCCAAGAUGAGUGGACGUUACUCGCAGAAUAAGCACCGGCUAACUCUGUGCCAGCCGCCGCAGUAA